UUUAACUAUUGCCUAUAAGAAUGCAAUUCUCGAUAAAAAAUUUAUAUUUUUUUGUAUCUUUCCUAAAAUAAAACCGAAUUUCUAUAUUUAUAACGCGUGAUAUUAAAAGGUUUUCUUGCGGGCGUUGUUGGAGAAGGCAAAGCUGGAGAACCCAUUAGAUCUACGUUUUCCUAAGGAAGUUCUUAAAAUGCCAAUAUAGCAGCACAUGCUGCAACCAAGACGUAGUGAAGGGCACAGCAUCCACCCUAAUCUGACAGGGAAUUGACGCAAAGGGCUAUCGUAUUCGUUGGCCUAGCUGAUAGUGGCCGUAGCAAUUGCUACUGCUGCUGCAGUGAUUUACUGGUUUGCAUAUCGGACGGUCAUUGAAAAGCCAAUUGAAAUCGACCGCUCUAAUCGCACAUGAUGAAAACAAUUUAUCAUGCCUGCUCGCCUCAGUUGUGUUGUUUCGAACUGUAAAUUUUGCCCAGUGUUGUGAUCUAUCCUAGAAAUGGAUCGUCCUAUAUUUUUGUUCGAAACUUUAUUUAUUAUGAGAGAAAAAUACAUAUUUAAUUACAUUUACAUUUGACGGUUGAGUUAUACAUAUUCAAUGUUGUUUUACAAAACCAAAGUUUUAUUUAAAAUCCUCAUAAUAUGUCACAACAAGGGCACCGAAUACACGCAAACAAAAAUCUCGUUCAAAACGGGUCAAGUUUCUUCAAACCAUACAGAAGUUAUCUUGAAGAUCUGACACGGCAAAGGCCAUAAAAACAUUCCCAAGAUUACCGAGCAAGGAGCAAAGGUCACGAAAAAAAUCUCAGCAAGUACAUUAAUGUCAGACCAGUUUCAUGAUGUAUAUAAGAUUUCUGGUUGUUUUAUUGACGUGUUCUUAGAAUUUUUUACGAAAAAAUAUAAAGACACCGAGUUCGGCGAAGUGGAGAUAUAAAAAUGUGAAAACCUAAAAAGUGUUACGCUUGUUACUUAAUAAUUACGUUUUGGUUUGAGUGAAAUAUGUAAUGGGUCGGUUGCCUUGUUAACCCUACUUCUCAAGAAAGGAAAAUUUAAAUAAUGUGGUCAUACAUGUAGAUUUCCAAAAAUUUUUAGGAUUUAAGGGUCAACAAUCGAGAAUGUUAAUUUAGUUUGCUUAAGAAUGGCGUUUUUAUGAUAAUAGAUAAUGAGAAGAGAGUCAAUACUUUCAUUUUUACUGCCCAUUAACAUUUUUAAUAGAAUAAAGAUUAAUUAUGUAAAAGCUAUAUAACAUGGUUUUUAUACAGCUUUGUUUUCAAAAGCU
Long non-coding RNA from Anthonomus grandis grandis, 1267 nucleotides. RefSeq lists it as uncharacterized. NCBI's taxonomy places the organism in Eukaryota, Metazoa, Arthropoda, Insecta, Coleoptera, Curculionidae. The transcript is spliced from 3 exons. The record is from RefSeq and is a predicted model, not a curated record.